GUGUGUGUGUGUGUGUGUGGGUAAGUGUCCAUGAGAGUAUGAGGUUGAUUAGUCCAGGUUUUAAUGUGGUGUGGUCGGCAUAGCCUCAGGUCAUGCAACAGGCCUAUUGUGGGAGGCAGAGAGAGAGGGAAGAGAGUGUGUGUGUUUCUGUCUGUGUGUGUAAUGUACGUGUGCGUGUGUAUGUGUGUGUGUGAGUGUGUGUGUGUGUAUGUUAAUGUGUCUAAUUAAAGGCGUAGGGGAUCAUGCUCCGGCACUGAGCUCGAGCAGCCGCCUGACGCAGAUAUGACCUCAGGCCAUGGUCUAUCUCACACAGACACACACACACACUCACAUACAAAUACUCACAUAGUCUCACACACACACUCCGACAUAGCUGCACUUGCAAACUAAGUGAUAUACAUCCAUGCACUACAACAUCCUUAAAACAUAUCAUCCACAUUAACACACCACGGCGGCAUUGCACACUCUCAUAAACCUAUUUGCAUGAGAGAAAAUACACUUACACACACUAAAGCAAAGAAACAGACCUGACAUGGCUCUGAGAUAUAGCCUCACACACAUAUUUUUAGGAAACAGUCCAUAACACACCGUCCUUGAGCCGGAGUGUGACCGAUGACUGAGCAGAUCAGGGACCGAAGAGAAUCCACCGCCAGCACUGAGGUUUUGUGAAGUGAAUAAAUCUCUGAUUCAGUCGAUAUGUCACAUCCUCAGAUUUAUGAACACACAGUUCAGACACACAACAGCUCCUGAUGCUCAGACUGUGCUAACAUCACAUUUCCCAAAUUGCCUCGUUUGUGGAGGCAGAGGUGAGGAACAGCUUAGUGCCGUAUACUUGGCUCAUAUUGAAGCUCACCUCAGCUUUGCAGCGUGAGAAGCUUUGCUGCUCACAUUCUUUCUAUGCUAACAAUGCUUCUGCAACACCAGAUUACAGUAACGGUGGUGCAAACAGACAAAGUAUGAGUCUUUUACUGAGCCAGAAAGUUUAGAGAUGGAAAAUAAAGAUGUGGACAAUGACAUUUAAUCGUGCAGGAGUUAAUGAACCUUUGCAAACUCAAAGACACGGUUACUGCCUGUUGUGGCUCUUAUUGUAGGGGUUUUAGGAUAUUGUCCUUGCAAGAUCUUGCAAUAAGAUUCACUCAUAAUAUCUGUAAACACAAGCGCUCAUGCUGCAAAUAAAAGGGUAAAAAUACGACUAAACACUCUCUGAAAUGUAAGCGCAUUCGUGCAAAUAAGACAGAUGUGUUGCACUGAGAAAACAAGAUUUAUUUUAGUGUUUCCAUGAUGCAAGAUUUUAUAAUUUAUGUUUUAAAGGGAAUUCACUGCAUGUUUUUACUCUUUAAAGCACAAUUUUAUUGUGUAAUUGAUUGUGCCUUUUUCUGAAGGUCUUCUUUCCUGCCCAGGCUUGACUUAACAACCUAACAAGCCUUUGAACAGACUUUUCAGAGCCAAGGCCAAGAGCUGGAGAGGAACACUGGGGAUGUUGCAAGAAGCAGGGGAAUUGGACAAGACCUGAGUUUUGGGACGACAGUGACAGGCAAGGAAUUCUGCCCAUUCUGUAAAUACAAUUAAUAACUUUAAAACUAACAUGAUACAAAAUAAAUAAAUAAAUAAAUCACCCGUAUUACAGUUGGUGGUGUGGGAGCCUUAAGCUUAUUAGAACUAAACUGGUUUUGGAGUGUUAAACACAUUCACUUUUGCUCAAAAACAGGAUAUUUUUGGCUUAGUGUGUAUGUGGUUUGGUGCUUUUUUAGCCAAUCCUUAGUGGACACUCAGGGAACUGCAGUUUCAGCACUUAAAGAUACCUCUCCCUUUAAAAAUGUUUGAUAAUGAAAUCUGCCCUAUAAAUAAAGAUUACUGUUCGGUUAAUAAUAAGUAUGUGAGCUAUAAAAGUUAAACCAUUUCUUCUCCAGGUGCUGUUAGUUGAUGAAAUUAUUGUUUUAAUGCCUGUUUCUCAUGCUGACUCCCACUUUUCUGCCACUUUCCUGCCCAUGUCAGGACAAGUCAUUAUAUAUACAGUAUAUAGAUACUAACAGGGAUAAUUUACAGUCAUUUAUAUCCUGUAAAACAUAAUAAAUUGUUGAUGGCUCAUCUUGUCCUCAGGGCAUUUUCUAAUUUUGGAUUCGACUGUAUGGUUUCCCAAAUCUGACAUCCAUCCACCAUAACUCUAAAUUCAGCUGAUUAUCAACUGCUGCUCAGGACCUGCGAAGUAACAUGCAUGGAUGUCGAUGUGUUUAUGUUAACAGAUGUUUGUGACAAGUUUCCAGCUGACUUUUUCUCUGUGAAGGUUCUGUGAAUGUCCAGGAAUAAAUGGCCCUCUGCUAGUUUCAUGGCGACAUUUUUUUUUGUUUGUUUUUUUUGCACCAAAUUUAAAGUGGUCUUGUCACUCUGACAGAAUACAAUGCCUGUAGAGUGGAUGGGAACAAUGUGCAAAUUUACAUUUGAAGCAAAAAACAAAACACUUAAAAGAUCAAAACAAGGUUAGUUUUGGAGGAUCUCAAAGUUUAAAACAACAAAGAGUCAUGUAAAGAUGGAGAGGCAAUGUGAGCUGCUUUAGAUGCUAAUUUUGAAGCAUUAUGAUGAUUGUCUUUCAGAUGUACUAACUCAGAAGAACAUGAUGAGGCACAAUAAGACAGGAGUGUGUGUUGUAACAGAAAAAGCCACAUUAAUACGUUAAAUACUAAUGUCAUAACACUGAUGUUGAUGCUAAUGUGUCUCCAGCUGUUCUCCGUUGCUGUCUGAGCUGCAGAGGACAGAGUUCUUCUAGAAACACUGCACACUAUCUGAGAUGGAGAUAUUAAAAACACAAGUCAGACUGAGUCGCAGUCUGGAGUUAGAUACAGCGUGACAGCCAAUGUGUGUGUGUGUGUGUGUGUGUGUGUGUGUGUGUGUGUGUGUGUGUGUGUGUGUGUGUGUGUGUGUGUGCGCACAUGCAUGUUUCAGAGCCUUCACCACGAGGAAGAGGAAGGUGGUGGUUGGUGAAGGGCGGAUGGGUUGACUUGCUGGCAUGAAGAGGAGAGGGAGGGUGGGUUGGAGUGGAGUGGAGUGGGGUGAGCUGGAGGGAAGUGGAGGGGAGGGGGAUUGUGGGUAAUAUGGGUGUCAGGGUGCUAGCAGUCUGUCGCCUAAGGCUGUGACAUUACCGCACUUCUGCUCCGCUUCAAAAGAACCAAAUCUAACUGACGACUGCUGUGAUGGCUCGGAGAGUGUGCAUGUGCGUGUGUGUGUGUUAGCCGUGCAUACUGUAUGUGUGUGUCUAAAUGACGUUCGCUGUGAUCUGAAAUUGGGAUAAUGCGCCGUGACACACUGCCUCGUGAAAGGCUCGAGACUGUAUUACCCUACUGAACCAGCACCCAGGGCUCUGAGUGUGUGUGUGUGUGUGUGUUGUGUGUGUGUGUGUGUGUGUGUGUGUGUGUGCGCGUGUGUGUGUGUGUGAGAGAGAGACACCUAAUGCGGAUUGAUUGAUAGAUUGAUUGGCAGUUGGAUAAACAGGUUGUGUAUACAAACCAUGAGUGGAUUCUGUAUUGAGUUUUGGGAGUCUGGGUAAGCUGAGCAGUUUUUAGUGUCAAUUGACA
Non-coding RNA from Xyrichtys novacula (pearly razorfish), 3569 nucleotides. NCBI's taxonomy places the organism in Eukaryota, Metazoa, Chordata, Actinopteri, Labriformes, Labridae. The record is from the annotation of a GenBank genome assembly.